UUCCCACGCUGCUGGGCCACGAGGUCGGGCACUGACCCCGAGUGGUCACCACGGGCCAGCCUCACCCAGUGCCACCAGUGCCACCAGUGCCACCAGUGCCACCACACCGGGUGUCUUCGCUCCGGGUGGCAGAGGUCGGAUCAGGAUCCUGAGGAUUCCUUUGGGAAUUUCCUCUGGCAGAGCCCUCUCCUGCCUUUGGGUACAGCUCCCACCAUCCCAGGUGGAUCCAGCCUGGCCUUGGGCACUGCCAGGGAUCCAGGGGAAGCCCCAGCAAAUGUGGGAAUUGCAGCCCAGGCAGGAAUUCCUUGCCAAGAUCCCAGCCCAAUCUCCCCUUUCCCACUGGAAGCCAUUCCCUGGCUCCUGGCCCUGCAGCCCUUGGCCCCAGUCCCUCUCCAGCUCUCCUGGAGCCCCUGCAGGGACUCUCAGCAUUCCCUGCAUUUCUCCCUUCUCCAGGGGAACAUUCCCAGCUCUCCCAGAGCUGAGGUGCUCCAGCCCUCACAGCAUUCAGCAUUCCCAGGACAACCAGGAUCCAUCUUGGUGAUGUGGGAGGACAAACACCAUCACUCCCAACAUUCCCCUUUCCUUCAUUCCCAGUUUAUCCACAAGCCACACGAUCCAGGAUAUCCCAGGGGUGGGUUGGGAUCAGUUUUCCUGGCCGUGUUCCCCCAAUUCCCAGUGAAAUUCCAACACUCCCCGAGCAGGGUGAGGGCAGGGCCACCCUCAAUUCCAUCCAAGACACAACAAAAACAUUCCCGAAUUAUCAGCACAAAUCCCAAACCCUUCCCACAGGGAACAAACACAACCCUGCCCCAGCCCCACCAGCAGGACCCUAAACCUGGAGACCUUGGAGCGUUCCAAACCCACCCUGGCCCCAAAAACCCAGAAUUAGGGAAAAGCUGCUGCUGUCACUUCCCACAAUCAGGUCAGGGACAUCGAAGAGGGAAGUGCUGCGGUUUGGGGCUCCUCACCCUCCUCCUCCUCCUCCCCCGGCUGAUAAAGGGACGUCCCUGA
This 1011-nucleotide long non-coding RNA is filed under the name Cyanistes caeruleus (blue tit). Its description in RNAcentral is "lncRNA (ENSCCEG00000016892.1)". Lineage: Eukaryota; Metazoa; Chordata; Aves; Passeriformes; Paridae. The record is from RNAcentral.